AGCGAGAAAGCCUUCGGGUGAGUAGAGCGGCGAACGGGUGAGUAAUGCGUAGGAAUCUACCUAAUAGUGGGGGAUAACUCGGGGAAACUCGGGCUAAUACCGCAUAUGCCCUAAGGGGUAAAGCGGGGGACUUUCGAGCCUCGCGCUAUCAGAUGAGCCUACGUCAGAUUAGCUAGUUGGUAGGGUAACGGCCUACCAAGGCGACGAUCUGUAGCUGGUCUGAGAGGAUGAUCAGCCACACUGGGACUGAGACACGGCCCAGACUCCUACGGGAGGCAGCAGUGGGGAAUAUUGGACAAUGGGCGAAAGCCUGAUCCAGCCAUGCCGCGUGUGUGAAUGAAGGCUCUAGGGUCGUAAAGCACUUUCAGUAGGGAGGAAAAGCUGGUAGUUAAUAACUGCCAGCCAUGACGUUACCUACAGAAGAAGCACCGGCAAACUCCGUGCCAGCAGCCGCGGUAAUACGGAGGGUGCAAGCGUUAAUCGGAAUUACUGGGCGUAAAGCGCGCGUAGGUGGCUUAUUAAGCAGGGUGUGAAAUCCCCGGGCUCAACCUGGGAACUGCAUUCUGAACUGGUAGGCUAGAGUAUAGUAGAGGGUGGCGGAAUUUCUGGUGUAGCAGUGAAAUGCGUAGAUAUCAGAAGGAACAUCAGUGGCGAAGGCGGCCACCUGGACUAAUACUGACACUGAGGUGCGAAAGCGUGGGUAGCGAACAGGAUUAGAUACCCUGGUAGUCCACGCCGUAAACGAUGUCAACUAGCCGUUGGGAGAUAUUUUUCUUAGUGGCGCAGCUAACGCGAUAAGUUGACCGCCUGGGGAGUACGGCCGCAAGGCUAAAACUCAAAUGAAUUGACGGGGGCCCGCACAAGCGGUGGAGCAUGUGGUUUAAUUCGAUGCAACGCGAANAACCUUACCAAGAUUUGACNUCCUGCGAACUUUCUAGAGAUAGAUUGGUGCCUUCGGGAAC
This 962-nucleotide ribosomal RNA is filed under the name uncultured bacterium. RNAcentral's name for it is "bacterial SSU rRNA". It matches the Rfam family "Bacterial small subunit ribosomal RNA", at positions 65 to 1027 of the family's 1533-position model. The record is from RNAcentral.